Long non-coding RNA from Harpia harpyja (harpy eagle), 341 nucleotides. RefSeq lists it as uncharacterized. NCBI's taxonomy places the organism in Eukaryota, Metazoa, Chordata, Aves, Accipitriformes, Accipitridae. The transcript is spliced from 3 exons. The record is from RefSeq and is a predicted model, not a curated record.
AGAAAACAGAACUUCGAGAUGUCAAAUCCUGACUGACUCAAAUGGUCCUUUUGCAAAGUGUCAUUCUACGGUCUCACCAAAUUUCUAUUUCACGAGCUGCCUGUUUGAUAUGUGUGUGGGAGGAGAUGAGGAUGCUACCUUAUGUCGCAGUCUGGAGGAAUACGUGCUGGAUUGUCAGCAGCAAGGAGUCAGUAUGGAAGGCUGGAGGCAACAGACAGUUUGUGGUAUAUCAUGUCCUGCCAACAGCAACUACAGCUCAUGCAUGUCUGCAUGCCCAGCAUCCUGCAACGACUUGACCAGCCCCUCUGAGUGCGAAUCACCUUGUGUUGAAGGCUGUGAAU